RNAcentral lists this long non-coding RNA (7293 nucleotides) under Equus caballus (horse). RNAcentral describes it as "lncRNA (ENSECAG00000053561.1)". Lineage: Eukaryota; Metazoa; Chordata; Mammalia; Perissodactyla; Equidae. The record is from RNAcentral.
GGCAGAUGCUGAUUCCUAGGCCUGGCUGGGACCUGGGAUUCUGCAUUUCCAACAGGCUCCCAGGGGAUGCCAGGCUGCAGGUGAGUUCUAAGCCCCUGUUACCCCAGGUGUGGUCGGGGGACCUGCAGCCUGGCAUCCCCUGGGAGGCUGUUGGAAAUGCAGAAUCCCAGGCCCCAGCCAGUCCUAGGAAUCAGCAUCUGCCAUGUAACCAGCCCCAGGAGACUCAUGAGCACGGUGCACUCUGAGGCGCUCAGGGCUCAGCCACAGCCAGCGGGCAGCUGUCUCUCCAGUCAGCACAGCACAGAGGGGGAGAAAUGCCCCUGUUGUGACUGCAUCAAAUAGGGUGAGAGUCAGCUGUGAGCAACUGGAAACCACAAUCCACAGGAACUUGGAGAAGACAGAGGUUUACUUCUCUCUCACAAAAACAGAGCACAGAGAAGUGUAGUGCAGGACUGGCUUGAUGGUUCAGUCAUAAGGGAAGGAGGCUCCUCUAUCUUGUUUCUAGGACGUCCUCAAUAUCUGAUCCUUCCUUAUGUUCCAAAAUGGCCGCUUGAGCUCCAGCCCUCACAUCUACAUUCCAGCUGCACAGGGCAGGCAAGCCACCAUCCUUACCCGACUCUACUCUCCAGACCUUCUCCAGUCACCUCCAAGCUUGGGGACCAGCUUCGCACAAAGCCAUGGCAGCUUCGCCUGCAUCCUGGGAUGAGCCCUGGGGAAGUCAAAGUAAUCCUCCCAGCAGGGCCAGGCAUGAGCAUUCUGACUGCCCUGAGCUCCUCACCCGCACCCCCCACCCACCCACCCGUGGAAAGAGCCUGUCCAGCAUCCAUCUAUAGGACCCACCAGGGAGAGGAGAGAGAAAAUCGGUGCUCUUAGGAAAAAUCUCUCAAAACCCAGGAGAUCUGUCAAACCAGGAAUCGAACAGAGGGACAGAUCUGUUUGCAAUCUGACUGACAAGCUCAGCUUGUUCACCUGAUAGAAGCCGAGGAGAUGCUGGGAUACGCGCUUAUGUGAGCAGGCUACACAGCGCUGGGCCAGGCCACUGUCUCAUGUAUCUGGACAGACUCCAUUAGGCCCAUUCCUCUUGAUUAAAUCUCCUCUAAGGAUGCUUGUUGGGUGGAGGGGGAAUGAUCACACGUAUCCAGGGGAGGUGCCAGGAAGCAGGUGGUGGCCCGUCACCCUCUCCCCGCCCUAAGGUCAUGAGUUGGCUUCACCCCCAACCCCCAGCCCCUGUCCUCAGUGAGGAGCAGUGUUCUCCCAAAUGGUCUUUCUGACUGGUGGCUGCUUUUUGGUUUCAUCUUGGUUCUCUCUGAAACAUUUUAGAUAACUGAGUAGUUCCUCCAGAUAUAUCAUCAGCGGUUUUGUCUGGCACUGCAUUUUUUGUUUUCUUCCUGUGUCUCUGAUUCUGUAUCUGCUUCCAUCAUUGUCUCUCCUCCUCAUGACUCCGAAAUACAGACAUUCCCUAAGACUCAAUAUUGGCCACCUUCUCUUUGUAAACUCUCCCUUGGGAUUCCAUCUACCCACCAUGGUCCAAGUGUCAUGGGAAUAGCUCUUAUCUCUGCAUCUCCAGCCCUGACUCCUUCUCCAGACUCCACUUCCGCUGAAGUCCUGCCAUGUGACAUGCCUGAUAGGCUCAGGCUAGAUCCAAUUGUGUGACCUCUCAGUACCAGCUCCUGCCAUCUUGUUCAGGGCAGCCCCAUCCCUCCAGCAUCCAGGUACCGAAUGUUGAUGCCUUCUUUGACUCCAUGAAAUCUGCUCAUGACCCACGUCCAAUCCAAGACUAAGAUACAGGGGUCUCUUGGAUCUGUAUCCAGACAAAAUGGGUGUCUUUGAUGGCAUUUGGUGACACCAAGAGAGCUAGAAUCCUGUGCAGGUCGAGUCUCAACUCACUGAAAAGCAGGGCAGUCUCCAUCCACUGAGCACCAUUCUCUCACAAGAGACAUUUGGGCAGUACUCUCCAAAGGCCCACUCUUGGGAUUCGUAAAUGCCUACAACAAAUCCCCUGCUGAGGAGGUGCGGCUGAUGGGGCAGCACAUCAGAGGCUGCUGUCGUUUCUUAGUCAGAUGGCCACCGAGCAAAUGCAAAAGAUCAGCUCCCAACACCAAGGCAUCCAAGAGUCACACGCAGGAAACGGGCACCCGAGGUUGAAAUGUGUCACCCAUCCUCUGGAGGUGCUGUGACCUCCACACAGAACAAUUUGGAGUCUCUCGGCAGGUGAUCACAGCCCUCUCACCUGGCAGGUGGCUGAGUUAACAAUGUGCUGCUGCGACCUAUCAGCUUUGGGAGAGGAUCUCCUACAGCUCAGAAGGACUCAUGAUAUAGAACGUUCCAAACCGAGCUGUCAGAUUGGUUGUUCAAUACACGGCCCCUCGCUCAGUCCAUAGAGCCCACAUCUGUGUGUGCUGGAGACACUAAUAAGGCUGUUGGUGCUGGGUGAUGGAGGAUGAUGUCCCCAAUGGUCAGCACUGAGGGCUGUGACCUCCCACCAAAGAAAGAAGUCCUGAGAACUGCACACCGAGGAUAGAGCCACUUUUAGCAGAGAAGAGCUGGGCUAUCCCAACCCAGGAGAUUUACUGGUUUCCUUAGAGUAUGUUUGUCUCAUUCUGAUGGUUGAUCUCUCAUCGAGAACCAAAGUUAAAAUUGCUUCCAAGAUAAAGGCAAACACCCGGUGCCCAUUCUUCCCCCCUGCUCACUGAUGGUGUCUGAGGAGAGCCCUGAGCUCCUGUUGGUGGACAGGACUUACUAGAGCAGAGACUCCCAGACGUCAGCGUGCAGGAGCGUCCCCUGGAGGGCCGGGCCCCACCCCAGAGUUCCUGACGGAGCAGGUCUGGAGGUCAGGACUGACAGCUUGUUUCUGAUAAGUCCCCGGGUGACGCUGAUGCUGCUGGUCCAGGGACCCCACUUUGAGAAACACUGGAAUUAUGUGAAAGGAGCAACAUCCCAAGAUGGCGCAGGACCCAGUACUCAGCACGUCCCCAUAUAAUUCAGAUCCAAAGAGCAGGCCUUCCAGGGCUGGUCACUGACCUGAGGCAUUAGUGAGGGGGGAACCCAGGGUUCCUUUGAGAGGUGGCCCAAGUUAACCUGUGGUCAGAGAUGGCCCUGGCCAGUGUCCCUCUCCCACCCUCUGCCUUUCACUGGCCCCAACACAGGGUCUUACCUGUCUGAGACAUGUGGUCCAAGCCAUUCGAUCGUCAUGGUUUUAGUCAGGGUUGUGUGGCAAAACCCCCACCAUGUCAGUUUGAGGCUACAUUCUGCCAGGGCAGUUCCUCAGAGAUGACCCCACCUCUCCAUAUAGUCAGAGAAUGUAAAACAAAUUAAAAGUAAACUUGAAAAACUGGCACAGUGGUGGUGGCUGUCCGGGGGGACAAACCCUUCCAAACUGGUACCCACAAGCCUGGACGCUGCUGCUGCACCCCACCCCUCAGCGUUGGUGGGAGUCUCUCAGGGCCAUCUGCUCAGGGAGGCAGCCAUGCUUCAGACAGGUCUAUUCUUGCUUUAAUUAAGAUUCCCGUUGGUCUCGUCCUGCUCCUGGGGUUUCACUUCAUAUUUUAAAGGGCAGGUCUCAAGAUGGUAGAUGAUCUCAGAGAGCCCGGCAGGGGGCUGCAUGACUUACAGACACUCAGUGAGUGUGCGGUGACUGACCUGCCUGCACGCCCUCUACCUGGUUUUGUCACAUGCUUUGUCUUUAUCUCCUGGGUGUCAGAGUCAUGCUGGGGCACCCCGAGCAAUGGCCAGGGAUUCUCUGCCGUGUGCCUGCCUCUCCCAUGGGUCCCUGCUGCAUCUCCUGCUGUCCCAGAGCAAUGCCUCCUCAUGGUUGGCUCAUUUGGAAGCAGGGGCGUUGCUGAGCAUAGUGAUACCCACCCUGAGGAGUGGGGAUGGGAGGGAGGAGGUGGGGGUCCUGGUGACACCCACCCUGGGGAUGGGAGAAGAAGGGGGCAUUGAAGUGACAAAGGCCGGGGCUUCAUGGAUCUUGUGCCUAGUAUCUUCCUCCCUCUCUUCAGUCAAGAUGACAGAGACCCUGUGUUGUAGAUUGGGUGGAGGCUUGAGCGCAGCCCCCUCGUGAGUUCUCAUCUGUGCAGUCACACUGUUCUGAUUCUUUGGGAUUCUUGACCAACACUCGACACCUGGUGAGCGCCGUCUCCUCCUCAUCACUCCAGGAUUCUCUCCUCCGUGAGCUCUUCCUCCCUCCCACACUGGAGCUCUGACGCUGGAUCCUUCACUCCCCUAGGGCACCUGGUGUGCCUCAGUUUACCCCUCAUCGCUGGGCAUGGUGACAGAGUCUGUCUCCCUCACGAGACUUGGGGUUCCCUAAAGGCUGGACUUGUCUUCAUCUCUGCAACCCCGAAGCGCAGCCCAGUGCCAGGGAGCAGGGGCUCUUGGGAAGGGGCGCUGAGUGAAUGAAUCAAUGAAUGAAUGAUGAACACAUGCAUGAACAUAGAAAGUGCCGCCCGUGGAUCCAGCGUCUCCCAGGAGGAGGUGUGACAUGGCCAUAAUGAACUUCCAGGUCAGAAGCCCGAGGUCCCGGCACCGACAGCUCCGGGCCACAAAUCCCUGGAAAACUGAGGACUGUCCGGCAUGGCAGCUCUCGGGAGCUGCAGUGUUUCCACGAAUUUAAUACCGUUGAAAUAAAACCCCUGAGUCUGGGAAAUGAAAUACCAUGAAUUGCUCAGCGUCAGUCUUUAGAUCCUGGAAAACCCCUGUCUGAGAGGAGCAGCCACUGCGAAACAGGCAUGAAAUGCGCUACUCUUAAAGAGAUGGUUUAUCUUUACUUAAAAAGUAAAGCACUAAAGGGAGAUCUUGGGAAAAACUCCUCUAGUUGAAGCUCUCUGAAGAUUCCUGUUAACACGGUCCGAGCUGUCAGGGUCCCCUUGUCACAUGCAGAAAGACAGGAGUCACUGCACUGGGAGGAGGCCCCGGGCAGGUGGGGGAUGCGGCCCGGAUGCCCUUUACUCCCAAUGCUGUUGCCUCCUCUGCUCCCCCAAGCCCACCCUGCUUCAGGCUCAGGCCCCGCUUGAGUCUCCACCUCCCACAUCCUCGGCUCAUGUGGGUGGUUCCAUGUGGGUCUUACCCUCACUCCCCCACCCCAGGACCCCGGAUCUCACUGUGAAAACUGGAUGCUCUCUGCUUCUUUCUGGGGCGUUUGUAAUCAUAACCAAUAAAUAAAUUAAAAAGAAAGUGGAGGCCAGCGCUGCUGAGGACUCCUGAGGAAGCAUCUCAUCCCUUAGUCGCUGGAUGCUGAGCUGCUUGGCACAAAAGAAAAAGACCAGAUUGAAACCAAGAGACGAGGAGGAGAAGGAGCCACAGAAGUUUUCCAAGGACGCUGUAAUGCUGUCCUCCUCCCUGGCUCCCAGAGCUCCUGGGUCGGCAGCACCAGCCCAGGCAGGCGAGGGUUACACAAAUGACACCAAGAGGAGAGCGAGGAGUGUCCUGGGGGUCAGGCUCGGCCACUUAAAGAGCAGGAGCUGCAGGGCAGGGGUUGCUGGGUUCUGUGACGGAGUCAGGGUGUCCGUCCAGAGAGAUGCGGCCUGAACUCCCCCAGGAAGGUCACACCCUCCUGUCACGUGCAGCACCCGGGAGGGCACCGUGGGCAGUGCCACCAGCUGUGGUUCUGCAGAGACUCAGAAAUGCACUCCCAAUGCACGGUCCCUACCACCACCCCCCCCCCCCCCCCCCCCCCCGUCAGCCUUUCCCUCAGAAGAUGAGAGACAAGGUGGUGGAGGAAGGCUGCUUCCUGGGGGCUGAGGGGUGAGAGCACAGGGGUGGGGUGAGCACCCAGAUGUUUGGGGACCAGAGAGCAGUGGUCCCACUGGUGCCAGGCUGCAGGGGAGUAGAGAAGGGCUGGAGACAGACUGGCGGCCCUGAGCCCAGGGGGGCCUUGGGGAGCUGAGGGUGGAGGGAGGGAGGACGGAGACGGGCCAGCCUCACAGGACAGCACUGCCUGUUCCCACUGAUGGAAGAGGAAAGGAAGUGAUCCCUGACCCUGAGCAUCUCUUCUCCCCCGGGCCACAGCCCUCCACGGUUUCCAGAGCCCAAAAGAGCCCAGGAGGGCCGGAACCUCUUGUCUGUUUAAUUUACAGUGUUUGGAAUUCAUUACAGAAUAAUUGUCUUAUUGAUCAGCUGCUGGCAUAUUUACUGUUUUCCCUUUCAGAUCAGAAAUGAUAUAGUGUAACUAAAGUAACUUUAAUUAUGUCAGUGCUUGGGAAAUUUGAAAGUUACUGGCACUUUAAAUAUUACCUUUUAAAUUCUGUGAAACGGAAGUGACCCUCCAUGGCAAAAUUUCAGCAUGGAGGGCCAGUGCCCUGGGCAGUCUCACUCUGUCUUCACGCCUCAGGCGCCUGUCUGCCCUGACCCUCUCCCCCUAACUCCAAUCCGAGGGUGAGGGUCCCCUGUGUGCUCUGUCCACUGGCUGCAGGGUGAGCUUCCCCGCAUGUCCCCUCUUGUUCUGGAAGGAACGGCCUCAUCCCAGGUGUGACAUCCAUUUAUCUGUUGUGCCCACCACUGUCCAUGCCCUAACUGUUCAUAACAGCCCGAAAUUCCCUGUGGGGAGCCAGCUCCCACUCACUUCUUGGCCCUGUGGUUUGGGGGUGCUGACUGCACCCCACAGGCGGAGUGGACCGUGUGACUCAGGUCCAGGUUAACUGGUGACUUCCAUUCCUCUAUGACUGGUUCAGGGUGGACAUGUGGCCCAGCCCGUGUCUUGGCCCGUGGACUCAGGACCUCUGCCUGAACAGGUUGGGUAGAGGUUCCUCCCUGUGUCACCAGGAGGUGGCAUCCACCUCAGCUUGAAGCUGACACAGAGGAUGCGGAGCUGAGAGAUGCGAAGAGAACAAGGUCCUGGUGAUUUUAUUGUCAAAUAGGGUCUGGACUUUUCAGUGACCCGUGUCAGUAAAUCCCCCUUUCCUUUAGCCAGUUUGUGUUGGGUUUCCUGUCCCUUGUGUUUAGCAGAGCUCUAACUAAUACGGGGUCAGGAAACCCCAGAGGACAGCCAGUGUGUGGGAGGAGUCCCUGCCCAGAGACACCUGCUCCUCCCGUGGAUGGACCAGCCCCAGAGCCACCAGGACAUUCUACCCUGCUGGUUGAAAGGGUUAAGGAUUGAUGGUGGGGAGGGGGGUGUAUUGGGGGUUUCUCUAGCACAUGUCCAGGCUCUCACUUCCCACCCUCACCCCAGGCCAAGGGCUGUGUGAUCCAUGGAGACCACAGCAGAGGGUUCAUCUUCUGCCCAACAACCCCUCCUUGCUAGGAACUUGCUGGAAGGUUCCCCUUGGGGUCUGUGGGGCUGGGCAAGGGGAGGGGUCU